GGAUUCCCCUAGUAACUGCGAGUGAAGCGGGAAAAGCUCAAAUUUAAAAUCUGGCAGUCUUUGGCUGUCCGAGUUGUAAUCUGGAGAAGCGUCUUCCGCGCUGGACCGUGUACAAGUCUCCUGGAACGGAGCGUCAUAGAGGGUGAGAAUCCCGUCUUUGACACGGACUACCAGUGCUCUGUGAUGCGCUCUCAAAGAGUCGAGUUGUUUGGGAAUGCAGCUCAAAAUGGGUGGUAAACUCCAUCUAAAGCUAAAUAUUGGCGAGAGACCGAUAGCGAACAAGUACCGUGAGGGAAAGAUGAAAAGCACUUUGGAAAGAGAGUUAAACAGUACGUGAAAUUGCUGAAAGGGAAACGCUUGAAGUCAGUCGCGUUUGCUAGGACUCAGCCUGGUUUCGGCCUGGUGCACUUCCUAGUAAACGGGCCAGCAUCACUUUUGGCCGCGGGAAAAAGGUUAGAGGAAUGUGGCACCCUCGGGUGUGUUAUAGCCUCUAGCUGUAUACCGUGGCUGGGAGUGAGGAACUCAGCACGCCUCUGGCGGGGCUUCGGCCACCUUCGUGCUUAGGAUGCUGGCGUAAUGGCUUUAAACGACCCGUCUUGAAACACGGACCAAGGAGUCUAACAUGCCUGCGAGUGUUUGGGUGGAAAACCCGAGCGCGUAAUGAAAGUGAUAGUUGGGACCUCUGUCGUGGAGGGCACCGACGCCCGGACCAGACCUUCUGUGACGGAUCCGCGGUAGAGCAUGUAUGUUGGGACCCGAAAGAUGGUGAACUAUGCCUGAAUAGGGUGAAGCCAGAGGAAACUCUGGUGGAGGCUCGUAGCGAUUCUGACGUGCAAAUCGAUCGUCAAAUUUGGGUAUAGGGGCGAAAGACUAAUCGAACCAUCUAG
Molecule: ribosomal RNA, 887 nt
Filed under: Phanerodontia chrysosporium
Lineage: Eukaryota; Fungi; Basidiomycota; Agaricomycetes; Polyporales; Phanerochaetaceae
Description: partial large subunit ribosomal RNA
Rfam family: Eukaryotic large subunit ribosomal RNA
Source: RNAcentral